UAUCAAAAUAAAACGCUCUUUUCCGUAUUUGGUUGUUAGCCAAGGCGAUUUUGCACUGAAUCCUGUGGCUGCGGUUUAUUCAGACGUAAUAAAUGUUGGCUACAUGUUGAAGAUGUCACCACCAGAUGUGCUGAGUGACCCGAUGAAGGUGAAGCUCCCCAGCCUCUUCCAGACCUGCAGGACUUUCACCAGGACUUGGUGAUGGCACUGAGCUCCAGAAGUUCUGGUUUGGGCUUGUGCAGGCUCACACGCCAUCAACGUCUAGUCGGUCUCUGUUCUGAAAUAAAGUCACUUAAAAAUUCAUUACUUCUGAAGCUCAUUGAUUCUCAGGCAUUACCUACAUCUGCUGAGAUUUUUUUUUUUUUUUUUUUGGAGAAUGACUGUUUUUAAGUUUCUGAUAUGGGCGCUGGUUCUGUAGCUGUUUUUUUUAUUUUAUUUCUCAUCUAGCACUGGACUCCUCAACUCCAGACCUUGGGGGCCGGCGACUUGUAGAUGUGUCCCUGAUCCAACACACCUGACUCUAAUAGCUGAAUCACUUCCUCAGUGCAGUCAUUUUCUCCAUGGUAACAUCCUCAUUACUUGACUCAGGGGUGUCGAGGCAGAGACACAUCUAACAGCUACAGGACACCGGCCCUCCAGGCCUGGAUUUGAGGACCACUGAUCCGGCUGGUAGUUUACUUUUGUGAAGUCAUCAGCUGCAACAAGCUUGAAUUGCAUAAAGAUCACCUCUGUCCUACUCAAAGUCACUGGUAUAGUUUAGAUAGAGCUCUGACAUGAUAAAGAAGGCUGGUUCUGUUCUGGGGACGACUGUGGAGACUAUGGUGUGAAGAAAGAUUCUUCAUAAAAUCAAGAAAGUUAUGGACAAACCUGAGCAUCCUCUUCAUGAGACUGUUUUGAGAAAACGGAGUGUCUUCAGUCAGAGGCUUCUUCAGAUUCCCUGGAAUACAGACUGCACCAGAGAUCUUCCCUGCCAGCACCCAUCAAGCAUCUUUCAAUAACUCUUUAAAGAAUCUGAAUUAAUGAGCUACAACAUCAUUUAAUUCCCCUUUGUGAUAAAGUAUGCAAAUGCAAAUGCAUUUGUGAGUGGAGCAGCAGAAUGGUUGCACCAUGAAAAGCUUUCCAAAUCACGUGGCGCACAUACAAACAGUUUUGGUGGAGGUGUGUGAAGGUGUGUGUCGCCAUCUGCCUAACUGAAAAAACACAGAUCGUCAUCAUUGGAGGCUAUUUCAAUGCAGAGUGAUCCUGAGAUGAGGCUCUGCAACCAAAAGCAAUCCUCUCUUCCUUUUCAUCAGACUAUCCUUCAGGAUGUCAGGGCUCGGCCCACAGAGGCAGGGAGAACAGAAAGACCUUCAGAAAUGUAAAAUGGAGGAGACUGCCUGCAGUCCUGAUGUUAAUCACUCUGAACACUGGUGUCAGUUUGCACAUGCCAGAAUGAACAGCACAAACACAUUGGCUGAUGUGAGUAGGUCAAACACUUGUUGAGGUAUGGUAUGCCAAGCUAAUGACCAGGAGGGGUAGCAGGCCCUUGUGGUUGUGUGUGGGUUCCCAAACACUCCUGAACCGCCGUGUGCGUUACGACAAUUUUCACUGAAUAUCAAUCAUCCAAUCCAAUAAACAAUAAAAAUAAGAAUCAACAGACGAAUGAGCUGCGUGGGACUAACAGAGAAAACCCUAUCCACAAAUCCAUUUUCCUUUCAAAUGUGGCACAAUUUAAAG
Long non-coding RNA from Xiphophorus hellerii (green swordtail), 1716 nucleotides. RefSeq lists it as uncharacterized. The transcript has 2 exons. NCBI's taxonomy places the organism in Eukaryota, Metazoa, Chordata, Actinopteri, Cyprinodontiformes, Poeciliidae. The record is from RefSeq and is a predicted model, not a curated record.